This 488-nucleotide ribosomal RNA is filed under the name uncultured bacterium. RNAcentral's name for it is "partial 16S ribosomal RNA". It matches the Rfam family "Bacterial small subunit ribosomal RNA", at positions 30 to 507 of the family's 1533-position model. The record is from RNAcentral.
UGACCGCUGGCGGCAGGCCUAACACAUGCAAGUCGACCGGUAACAGGAAGCAGCUUGCUGCUUCGCUGACGAGUGGCGGACGGGUGAGUAAUGUCUGGGAAACUGCCUGAUGGAGGGGGAUAACUACUGGAAACGGUAGCUAAUACCGCAUAACGUCGCAAGACCAAAGAGGGGGACCUUAGGGCCUCUUGCCAUCGGAUGUGCCCAGAUGGGAUUAGCUAGUAGGUGGGGUAACGGCUCACCUAGGCGACGAUCCCUAGCUGGUCUGAGAGGAUGACCAGCCACACUGGAACUGAGACACGGUCCAGACUCCUACGGGAGGCAGCAGUGGGGAAUAUUGCACAAUGGGCGCAAGCCUGAUGCAGCCAUGCCGCGUGUAUGAAGAAGGCCUUCGGGUUGUAAAGUACUUUCAGCGGGGAGGAAGGGAGUAAAGUUAAUACCUUUGCUCAUUGACGUUACCCGCAGAAGAAGCACCGGCUAACUCCGUG